Molecule: ribosomal RNA, 418 nt
Filed under: uncultured eukaryote
Lineage: Eukaryota
Description: SSU rRNA
Rfam family: Eukaryotic small subunit ribosomal RNA
Source: RNAcentral
CAAUAGCGUAUAUUAAAGUUGUUGCGGUUAAAAGCUCGUAGUUGGAUUUCUGUUGAGGAAGUCCGGUCCGCACUUUGUGCGUGAUCUGGUUCUGCCUCGGCAUCCUCGUGGGGAACGUGCUGCGCUUGAUUGCGUGGUAUGGUAUUCACGACUUUUACUUUGAGGAAAUUAGAGUGUUCACGGCAGGCAAUCGCUGGAAUACGUUAGCAUGGAAUAAUAAUAUAGGACCUUGGUUCUAUUUUGUUGGUUUCUAGAACUAAGGUAAUGAUUAAUAGGGAUAGUUGGGGGCAUUUGUAUUAACACGUCAGAGGUGAAAUUCUUGGAUUGUGUUACGACAAACUACUGCGAAAGCAUUUGCCAAGGAUGUUUUCAUUGAUCAAGAACGAAAGUAAGGGGAUCGAAGACGAUCAGAUACCGU